ACCAAUGGGAAACGAUUGCUAAUACACGAUACGCCCUUCAGGGUUAUAUGUUUCUUCGCCUAAACAUGAGCUCGCGUCCGAUUAGAUAGUAGGUAGUGUAAUCGACUACCUAGUCGACGAUCGGCAGUUCGUUUGAGAGGACAAUCAGCCACACUGGGAAUCAGACACGGCCCAGACUCCUACGGGAGGCAGCAGUGGGGAAUUUUCCGCAAUGGGCGCAAGCCUGACGGAGCAAUACCGCGUGGGGGAGGAAGGUCUGUGGAUUGUAAACCCCUUUUCUCAGGGAAGUAGUUCUGACGGUACCUGAGGAAUCAGCAUCGGCUAACUCCGUGCCAGCAGCCGCGGUAAUACGGAGGAUGCAAGCGUUAUCCGGAAUUAUUGGGCGUAAAGCGUCCGCAGGYGGCUAGAUAAGUYUGCUUUCAAAGAGCGGGGCUCAACCCCAUAGGGGGAGUGGAAACUGUUUAGCUAGAGUAUGGUAGGGGCAGAGGGAAUUCCCAGUGUAGCGGUGAAAUGCGUAGAUAUUGGGAAGAACACCAGUGGCGAAGGCGCUCUGCUGGACCGAGACUGACGCUGAGGGACGAAAGCUAGGGGAGCGAAAGGGAUUAGAUACCCCUGUAGUCCUAGCUGUAAACGAUGGACACUAGGUGUUGCGCGUAUCGACCCGUGCAGUGCCGUAGCUAACGCGUUAAGUGUCCCGCCUGGGGAGUACGCACGCAAGUGUGAAACUCAAAGGAAUUGACGGGGGCCCGCACAAGCGGUGGAGUAUGUGGUUUAAUUCGAUGCAACGCGAAGAACCUUACCAGGGUUUGACAUCCCUCGAAUCUCUGCGAAAGUGGAGAGUGCCUUUGGGAGCGAGGAGACAGGUGGUGCAUGGCUGUCGUCAGCUCGUGUCGUGAGAUGUUGGGUUAAGUCCCGCAACGAGCGCAAUCCCACGUUUUCAGUUGCCAGCAUUAAGUUGGGGACUCUGGAGAGACUGCCGGUGACAAACCGGAGGUAUGGUGUGGACGUAAGUCAAGUCAUCAUGCCCCUUACAUCCUGGGCUACACACGUACUACAAUGGUUAGGACAAAGGGCAGGGAAGCCG
This 1084-nucleotide ribosomal RNA is filed under the name Leptolyngbya sp. CR_L19. Its description in RNAcentral is "bacterial SSU rRNA". It matches the Rfam family "Bacterial small subunit ribosomal RNA", at positions 145 to 1257 of the family's 1533-position model. The record is from RNAcentral. Lineage: Bacteria; Bacillati; Cyanobacteriota; Cyanophyceae; Leptolyngbyales; Leptolyngbyaceae.